Molecule: ribosomal RNA, 19 nt
Filed under: Ticodendron incognitum
Lineage: Eukaryota; Viridiplantae; Streptophyta; Magnoliopsida; Fagales; Ticodendraceae
Source: RNAcentral
GCGAUCAUACCAGCACUAC